RNAcentral lists this ribosomal RNA (701 nucleotides) under uncultured bacterium. RNAcentral describes it as "bacterial SSU rRNA". It matches the Rfam family "Bacterial small subunit ribosomal RNA", at positions 66 to 778 of the family's 1533-position model. The record is from RNAcentral.
ACGGACUUACAUUGAAGCCUAGCGAUAUGUAAGUUAGUGGCGGACGGGUGAGUAACGCGUGGGUAACCUGCCUUGUACUGGGGGACAACAGUUGGAAACGACUGCUAAUACCGCAUAAGCGCACAGCUUCGCAUGAAGCAGUGUGAAAAACUCAGGUGGUACAAGAUGGACCCGCGUCUGAUUAGCUGGUUGGUGAGGUAACGGCCCACCAAGGCGACGAUCAGUAGCCGGCCUGAGAGGGUGAACGGCCACAUUGGGACUGAGACACGGCCCAAACUCCUACGGGAGGCAGCAGUGGGGAAUAUUGCACAAUGGGGGAAACCCUGAUGCAGCAACGCCGCGUGAGUGAAGAAGUAUUUCGGUAUGUAAAGCUCUAUCAGCAGGAAAGAAAAUGACGGUACCUGACUAAGAAGCCCCGGCUAACUACGUGCCAGCAGCCGCGGUAAUACGUAGGGGGCAAGCGUUAUCCGGAUUUACUGGGUGUAAAGGGAGCGUAGACGGUUUUGCAAGUCUGAAGUGAAAGCCCGGGGCUUAACCCCGGGACUGCUUUGGAAACUGUAGGACUAGAGUGCAGGAGAGGUAAGUGGAAUUCCUAGUGUAGCGGUGAAAUGCGUAGAUAUUAGGAGGAACACCAGUGGCGAAGGCGGCUUACUGGACUGUAACUGACGUUGAGGCUCGAAAGCGUGGGGAGCAAACAGGAU